Molecule: long non-coding RNA, 843 nt
Organism: Trifolium pratense (red clover)
Lineage: Eukaryota; Viridiplantae; Streptophyta; Magnoliopsida; Fabales; Fabaceae
Exons: 2
Source: RefSeq, a predicted model, not a curated record
GACCCGAAAUUUAUUAUUCGUUAUUUAAUUAUUUUAUUACGCGAGGGCGUAAUUCAUAAUUAUUUUAUUAAGCGGCGAAUAAUUAAUUGGCGCGAAUAUAAGUUAAUACGCGAGUUAGGAGCGUUACGUGAGUGAACCGUAUUAUUGGGCCUUGGAUUUGUUAUUGGGCUUUUGGCCCAAUGGGCCAAGACAAGUGGGAAGGGGGCGGUUUAUGUUAAGCAAGUGGGAGGGGAGAUAUUUUCAUUGCUUGGUUGUAAGAAAAGUCAAUAAAGUGGAAAGGAGAUAAGAGCAAGAGAAAGUGAACUUGGUGACUUAGAGGAAAUCACAAAACUCAUACUUCUUCUUCCUCCUUGGCCGUGUAUCUUCAUUCUUCUUUCUCUUCCAUCACCAAAAUUUCAUACCUUUACCAAAUUGAUCCAUCUUAAGCUUGUUGGAAACAUGAGAGUUCAUGGAUCAUCAUCCCUAAGCUAGGGCGAGCAAGAGAGCAAAGCAAGAGGGUGCUAGGGCUUGAGAAAGAGAGGAGCUCAUGAGAGCUAGAACAAGAGGAGCUUGAGGAUUCAUCAAAUUUCUAAGAUAUCCAGGUUGACAGGUUAUAUGUUAGCUUGUCCGAGUAGCGUGGUGAAGCUCCGCUCUGAUUGUGACACGGGGAGAAAAGGGGUUUUGUAUAUAUAUAUAUAUAUAUAAAUUCCUUUAGAAAAUUACUCUGUAAUUGCUUAUGUUUUCAUAUAAGAAUUAUUCUUUGUGAAAAGUAUUGGUUUUGUAUAACUUAUAACGCAUCGUGUUGAUGCGGAGGAUUUUGUAUUUUGUGAUAUUCAAACCAGCGCUUUAUAAUCAGAUUUUCAA